This 63-nucleotide microRNA precursor is filed under the name Pteropus alecto (black flying fox). RNAcentral describes it as "microRNA pal-mir-141 precursor". Its record names the gene pal-mir-141. It matches the Rfam family "mir-8/mir-141/mir-200 microRNA precursor family", at positions 11 to 69 of the family's 72-position model. Rfam says of the family: The bounds of the precursors are predicted based on conservation and base pairing and are not generally known. Lineage: Eukaryota; Metazoa; Chordata; Mammalia; Chiroptera; Pteropodidae. The record is from miRBase by way of RNAcentral. RNAcentral also lists the same sequence under 1 other name.
AUCUUCCAGUACAGUGUUGGAUGGUCUAAUUGUGAAGCUCCUAACACUGUCUGGUAAAGAUGG